RNAcentral lists this non-coding RNA (121 nucleotides) under Paenibacillus amylolyticus. RNAcentral describes it as "SAM riboswitch (S box leader)". It matches the Rfam family "SAM riboswitch aptamer (S box leader)". Rfam says of the family: The SAM riboswitch is found upstream of a number of genes which code for proteins involved in methionine or cysteine biosynthesis in Gram-positive bacteria. The record is from RNAcentral. Lineage: Bacteria; Bacillati; Bacillota; Bacilli; Caryophanales; Paenibacillaceae.
UCUUAUCAAGAGUAGGUGGAGGGACUGGCCCGAUGAAACCCGGCAACCGGCGGUAUACCGCACGGUGCUAAUUCUUGCAGCGACUAAGUGUCAGGUGGCACUGUUGUAACUGAGAGAUGAG